UUUGAUACAUUGUUCGGACAUAUUACACAUUCACGAUGCAAAAAACAUCUGGGGUACACAAAUAUAUACAUGUUAGAUACACAAUCACCCUCGAGAUAGGGUCAAUAUACACCAAGGAUACACUGUCCAACUUAGGAUACAAUAUUUAUACAUUGCAAAAUAAGGGUUAGCUCUAGCGCGCCAGGAAAGGGUCGAACAUACGGCCUUCAGCUUAGGAAACAUGUGCUCUAUUCACUGA
Molecule: long non-coding RNA, 238 nt
Filed under: Nicotiana benthamiana
Lineage: Eukaryota; Viridiplantae; Streptophyta; Magnoliopsida; Solanales; Solanaceae
Description: long non-coding RNA (NBEN_LNC011085)
Source: RNAcentral